AACGCGAAGAACCUUACCUGGGUUUGACAUGGCCGCAAAACUUCCAGAGAUGGGGGGUCCUUCGGGGGCGGUCACAGGUGGUGCAUGGCUGUCGUCAGCUCGUGUCGUGAGAUGUUGGGUUAAGUCCCGCAACGAGCGCAACCCUUAUCCCAUGUUGCCAGCGGGUUAUGCCGGGGACUCAUGGGAGACUGCCGGGGUCAACUCGGAGGAAGGUGGGGAUGACGUCAAGUCAUCAUGCCCCUUAUGUCCAGGGCUUCACGCAUGCUACAAUGGCCGGUACAAACCGUUGCGAGCCCGUGAGGGGGAGCGAAUCGGAAAAAGCCGGUCUCAGUUCGGAUCGGGGUCUGCAACUCGACCCCGUGAAGUCGGAGUCGCUAGUAAUCGCAGAUCAGCAUCG
RNAcentral lists this ribosomal RNA (397 nucleotides) under uncultured Actinoplanes sp. RNAcentral's name for it is "bacterial SSU rRNA". It matches the Rfam family "Bacterial small subunit ribosomal RNA", at positions 958 to 1356 of the family's 1533-position model. The record is from RNAcentral. Lineage: Bacteria; Bacillati; Actinomycetota; Actinomycetes; Micromonosporales; Micromonosporaceae.